Molecule: ribosomal RNA, 270 nt
Filed under: uncultured prokaryote
Description: partial 16S ribosomal RNA
Rfam family: Bacterial small subunit ribosomal RNA
Source: RNAcentral
UACGUAUGGAGCGAGCGUUAUCCGGAUUUAUUGGGCGUAAAGCGCGCGUAGGCGGCCUUUCAAGCAGGAUUUUAAACCUAAGGGCUCAACCCCCAGUCGGAUCCUGAACUGUUAGGCUCGAGUUUGGUAGAGGAAGACGGAAUUCCCAGUGUAGCGGUGGAAUGCGCAGAUAUUGGGAAGAACACCGAUGGCGAAGGCAGUCUUCUGGGCCAUAACUGACGCUGAGGUGCGAAAGCUAGGGGAGCAAACAGGAUUAGAUACCCGUGUAGU